GAAAUAGUGAAAUUUAAAGUUUCUAACUUUAAUUAAAAUAAUAAAUUAUUUAUAUUUUUAUUUAU
This 65-nucleotide transfer RNA is filed under the name Ettchellsia sinica. Its description in RNAcentral is "tRNA-Ser". The record is from RNAcentral. Lineage: Eukaryota; Metazoa; Arthropoda; Insecta; Hymenoptera; Megalyridae.